RNAcentral lists this ribosomal RNA (497 nucleotides) under uncultured bacterium. RNAcentral describes it as "partial 16S ribosomal RNA". It matches the Rfam family "Bacterial small subunit ribosomal RNA", at positions 28 to 507 of the family's 1533-position model. The record is from RNAcentral.
GAUGAACGCUGGCGGCGUGCCUAAUACAUGCAAGUCGAGCGAACUGACGAGAAGCUUGCUUUUCUGAUGUUAGCGGCGGACGGGUGAGUAACACGUGGAUAACCUACCUAUAAGACUGGGAUAACUUCGGGAAACCGGAGCUAAUAACGGAUAAUAUUUUGAACCGCAUGGUUCAAAAGUGAAAGACGGUCUUGCUGUCACUUAUAGAUGGAUCCGCGCUGCAUUAGCUAGUUGGUAAGGUAACGGCUUACCAAGGCAACGAUGCAUAGCCGACCUGAGAGGGUGAUCGGCCACACUGGAACUGAGACACGGUCCAGACUCCUACGGGAGGCAGCAGUAGGGAAUCUUCCGCAAUGGGCGAAAGCCUGACGGAGCAACGCCGCGUGAGUGAUGAAGGUCUUCGGAUCGUAAAACUCUGUUAUUAGGGAAGAACAUAUGUGUAAGUAACUGUGCACAUCUUGACGGUACCUAAUCAGAAAGCCACGGCUAACUACGUG